GCCUCAGCCUCCCAAAAUGCUGCGAUUACAGAUGUGAGCCUCUGUGCCUGGCUGUAUCGACCGUAUCUUGAUGAAGGAACUCGGAAGUGAGUAAAGGUCAAGCUGCAAAUUUCCCUCAAAGCAGUAUAAAAGAAGGAAAGCUCACGAGUCCCCUGACAAAUGCCUCUUGUUUACAAAUGCUUGCUGUUUGAUGGAGUCAUCAAAAAUUGUGAAGACCUGCAUCCCUUUGUAUCUCAAGCAAAGACAGAGACCCUAACCACUGGUGGUGUCUAGUACGAUGACAGGAAGCUGGAGGAGCACGCUGGGGCCAGGUUAUGAAGAGGCUUAUACGCAGGAUGGGGUUUGAACUUCAUUUUACAAGCGGUGGCUCCUAGGCACAACCCCCAUACGGCUGCCGUUUGGGUCCUAGAUCUCUGCAUACCUGCAGUGCACCACAGUGGGCCCAGCACCGGGGCUUCUGUUGAUGUAGUCCCUGACAGUCCUCACAAACUGGAUCAGAGACUGAGUGGUUUCCGGGACUCCAUGGUCUGGCCACACCGUAUAGUGAAAGUGGCGGAUGAGUCUGUGUGCAUCGAGCUGUUCCUCCUGUAAGAGCAGAGAGCAGGAUAGUAAGAGGAACCUUCAAACUUGACAACUGAGCCGUGGAGCAAUUCCUAUGGGCUGAAACUACAAGAGAAGAACCAGCAAAAGUGGGAUUAGCAGAUCUCCUUCAUCUCCCCCAGCUGGGUUGUUAAAUGAAGUCAAGCAAGCUAACAUACAGUGCAUAUCUUAAACUCCCGGAUGGUCCACUCAGGCAGGACGGACUCUGAGAGCAUCUGCAGGAUGAGGUCCCCAUAGUAGAGGGAAUCCUGGUCCGCUGGCCAAUAAUGGUCACACUUUACCUGAAAGACGACAGAUAGAAACAACGUGAGUCCGGAAGAGUGACUCCUUGUGAACAUGGGCUUUCCCUCCUCUAAACACCUUCCUGAGUUAGGAAUCCCGGAUCAGCCGCUAAAGCAAUUUGACCAUCUACUUUAUAUUAACCUGCUCUUGGCCAGCGCUGAAGCUGAGGUGCUGCUCCAAGUGAAGGGGAGACACUGCAUAAGGAGCACCCCCAACGCCAAUCUGUGGAUUCACUCACUUUUUUAGGCCUAGGGAUACAUGACUUGAGGAUUUUUUUCUUUUUUUAAAUUGGUUUUCUUAGCAUUUCAGCUGCACUAGCAGGUAAACUAUGGUUCACAAUUCAUUGUUCUUCCUAAAGAAAUAUCUAGUUGUGUAGAGGAAGGUACUGUCUUCCUGGCCCUGCUUUGUUUGUAUUUAUAUGUCACUGUCCUAACUUGGGCCUUGUGCCAAGAGAUCUUCGAGAAGUCAGAACGUUUAGCUAAGCUUGCCUUUACAUGUGCACAGACAAGGGAAAGAGGAUUGUGAGCACGUAUUUACUGAACGCAGAUACCGGGCACUUUACAUGUAAUCUCUCUUUUAAUCCUCAAAAUAACCAUAUAACGUAGAAGAUGAUACGUGCAUUA
Molecule: long non-coding RNA, 1505 nt
Organism: Cebus imitator (Panamanian white-faced capuchin)
Lineage: Eukaryota; Metazoa; Chordata; Mammalia; Primates; Cebidae
Exons: 4
Source: RefSeq, a predicted model, not a curated record